GUUGCUUUAAACAGACUGAUGACUACAUGAGAAAAAUCAUUGCAACUUGAUUACAACAUGUUCCAACUAGACAAGGAAAACCAUAAUUAAAUGAAUACCAUAAAUGCUCUUCUUUGUGGUUUACGCGUAAGCAAACUACCAUUUGAAAAAAAAAAUGUUUCCUUUCCUACUUCCUAGCUUACACUAUGAAUUACCAUCACCAAUAAUAACAUCCCUUUGUUUGGCAAGAAUUAUUACUACAGGCUUACUGGUAAAACUUUUUUUUUCCUCUUCUCAGAAAGGGUAAGACUUAAAAUAUAUGCAUCGCUUUUGUUACGACAAACAUAUAGUGGCAAGUUGAGAAUGUAGAUUGAAAAUGUAUUCCUGAAUGUUCAAAAGAGGCUACAUAAAAUCAUAUAUAAAGAAAUAUCUGAUCCAGUUACAAAAAAGAAAGUUACCUGAAGAAAGAAAUAAAGAUCUUU
Molecule: unclassified non-coding RNA, 461 nt
Filed under: Hevea brasiliensis (rubber tree)
Lineage: Eukaryota; Viridiplantae; Streptophyta; Magnoliopsida; Malpighiales; Euphorbiaceae
Source: RNAcentral